RNAcentral lists this long non-coding RNA (439 nucleotides) under Brassica napus (rape). RNAcentral describes it as "long non-coding RNA (BNAP_LNC011136)". Lineage: Eukaryota; Viridiplantae; Streptophyta; Magnoliopsida; Brassicales; Brassicaceae. The record is from RNAcentral.
UCGCUCCGGUAGGUCGCUCUGGCUGGAGUGACUUGAGAUAGUCACUCUGGGCUGGUCGCUCCAGGGUCAUCUAAGACGAUUCGGAGUAACGAGAACGCGAGCGACUUCAUUUACUUGUCCACAAGUGAACUUUCUAGAACUCAUAGGGAGAGAGGUUUGAAGAUGGGAGCUCUUGGCCAAAAGAAACACAACUAGCACUCAAUUCAACAUCUAAUCCAACAUGAGCACACUCUCUUAUUACACUCUAGCUUCUCUAGGCCUAUCUCAACUCUUUUUGCCCUUACAUUCGUCAUCAAGCAUCCACACAUUCAAAUCAACCAACUCUCACAUUCAUUAAGCACAAAACAUCAGGUGGAUUCUUGCAAAUGGUCAAUUGGUCUAAAUCAUUUGGUUGGGUAGGGGAAGGCUGAUAAAGGAUAAGUUUAAUCCUUAAGUGUUG